RNAcentral lists this ribosomal RNA (376 nucleotides) under uncultured Gammaproteobacteria bacterium. RNAcentral's name for it is "bacterial SSU rRNA". It matches the Rfam family "Bacterial small subunit ribosomal RNA", at positions 521 to 896 of the family's 1533-position model. The record is from RNAcentral. Lineage: Bacteria; Pseudomonadati; Pseudomonadota; Gammaproteobacteria.
UAAUACAGAGGGUGCAAGCGUUAAUCGGAAUUACUGGGCGUAAAGCGCGCGUAGGUGGUUUGUUAAGUUGGAUGUGAGAGCCCUGGGCUCAACCUAGGAAUAGCAUUCAAAACUGGCAGACUAGAGUAUGGUAGAGGGAAGGGGAAUUCCAGGUGUAGCGGUGAAAUGCGUAGAUAUCUGGAGGAACAUCAGUGGCGAAGGCGCCUUCCUGGACUAAUACUGACACUGAGGUGCGAAAGCGUGGGUAGCAAACAGGAUUAGAUACCCUGGUAGUCCACGCCGUAAACGAUGUCAACUAGGUGUUGGAGAGUCUAACUCUUUGGUACCGCAGCUAACGCGUUAAGUUGACCGCCUGGGGAGUACGGUCGCAAGAUUA